Molecule: ribosomal RNA, 496 nt
Filed under: uncultured bacterium
Lineage: Bacteria
Description: partial 16S ribosomal RNA
Rfam family: Bacterial small subunit ribosomal RNA
Source: RNAcentral
AUGAACGCUGGCGGCGUGCCUAAUACAUGCCAGUCGAGCGAACAGACGAGGAGCUUGCUCCUCUGACGUUAGCGGCGGACGGGUGAGUAACACGUGGAUAACCUACCUAUAAGACUGGGAUAACUUCGGGAAACCGGAGCUAAUACCGGAUAAUAUAUUGAACCGCAUGGUUCAAUAGUUAAAGACGGUUUUGCUGUCACUUAUAGAUGGAUCCGCGCCGCAUUAGCUAGUUGGUAAGGUAACGGCUUACCAAGGCGACGAUGCGUAGCCGACCUGAGAGGGUGAUCGGCCACACUGGAACUGAGACACGGUCCAGACUCCUACGGGAGGCAGCAGUAGGGAAUCUUCCGCAAUGGGCGAAAGCCUGACGGAGCAACGCCGCGUGAGUGAUGAAGGUCUUCGGAUCGUAAAACUCUGUUAUUAGGGAAGAACAAAUGUGUAAGUAACUAUGCACGUCUUGACGGUACCUAAUCAGAAAGCCACGGCUAACUACGUG